UUCCGACGUUGCUCGGAGUACUCGACAAAGCAGAAGACAUGUGGGCAAUCCGAUUUUGGUCACUAAUAAUUUUGCCUGCACUACACGACGCGAGUGCUGAAUAUAUGGUAAUCCAGGAUCCGGCAGUAAUUGUGGUUCAGGAAGGUCAACCUGUGCUGCUGAACUGCAGCUACCCUGCAACAGCUGCUAGCACCCUGUUCUGGUACAUGCAAUAUCCCGGACAACCUUUGAGAUAUUUACUGAAGAGAUAUGCAACAGGAAGUGGUGGAGAACAAUCCUCUGAUUGCCCAGACCGGUUUUCGGCUGAAGUAGACAAGGGAAGUGCGACAGUUCCUUUCAGAAUAUCUGACGCUCGUAUCUCCGACUCCUCCGUAUUUUUCUGUGCCAUGAUGCCCACAUUACUGCCGAGCUGCAGAACGCCACUACAAAAACCAUUUUUAAAAGUUACAAUUUGCAGACUUUAG
This is a non-coding RNA of Hypanus sabinus (Atlantic stingray), 464 nucleotides long. The record is from the annotation of a RefSeq genome assembly. Lineage: Eukaryota; Metazoa; Chordata; Chondrichthyes; Myliobatiformes; Dasyatidae.